CGGUGGAGCACGUGGUUUAAUUCGAUGCAAACCGAAGAACCUUUACCGUGGGUUUGACAUACAGGUGGUAGAGCGAAGAGAUUCAAUCGACUCUGCAGUAAUGCAGAGAGCCUGCACAGGUGCUGCAUGGCUGUCGUCAGCUCGUGUCGUGAGGUGUUGGGUUAAGUCCCGCAACGAGCGCAACCCCUACUGCCAGUUGCUAACAGGAGAGCUGAGCACUCUGGCGAGACUGCCGCCGACAAGGCGGAGGAAGGUGGGGAUGACGUCAAGUCAUCAUGGCCUUUAUGCCCAGGGCUACACACGUGCUACAAUGGCCGGCACAGACGGCAGCUUAGUGGCGACACUUGGCAAAUCCUCUAAAGCCGGUCCCAGUUCGGAUUGCAGUCUGCAACUCGACUGCAUGAAGCCGGAAUCGCUAGUAAUCGCAGAUCAGCCAAGCUGCGGUGAAUACGUUCCCGGGCCUU
RNAcentral lists this ribosomal RNA (464 nucleotides) under uncultured Synergistaceae bacterium. Its description in RNAcentral is "bacterial SSU rRNA". It matches the Rfam family "Bacterial small subunit ribosomal RNA", at positions 930 to 1382 of the family's 1533-position model. The record is from RNAcentral. Lineage: Bacteria; Thermotogati; Synergistota; Synergistia; Synergistales; Synergistaceae.